Molecule: ribosomal RNA, 582 nt
Filed under: uncultured bacterium
Lineage: Bacteria
Description: bacterial SSU rRNA
Rfam family: Bacterial small subunit ribosomal RNA
Source: RNAcentral
GCACGGGUGAGUAACACGUGAACUAACCUACCCUGGAGUGGGGGAUAACUGAGGGAAACCUUUAGCUAAUACCGAUAAUACCUACGGGUCAAAGGAGCAAUUCGUUUGGGAGGGGGUCGCGGCCGAUUAGUUAGUUGGCGGGGUAAUGGCCCACCAAGACAGUGAUCGGUAUCCGGCCUGAGAGGGCGCACGGACACACUGGAACUGAAACACGGUCCAGACUCCUACGGGAGGCAGCAGUGGGGAAUUUUGCGCAAUGGGGGAAACCCUGACGCAGCAACGCCGCGUGGAGGAUGAAGUACUUCGGUACGUAAACUCCUUUCGAUCGGGACGAUAAUGACGGUACCGGAAGAAGAAGCCCCGGCUAACUUCGUGCCAGCAGCCGCGGUAAUACGAGGGGGGCAAGCGUUGUUCGGAAUUAUUGGGCGUAAAGGGUGCGUAGGCGGUUUGGUAAGUCUUUUGUGAAAUCUAUGGGCUCAACUCAUAGACUGCAAGGGAAACUGCCGGGCUUGAGUAUGGGAGAGGUGAGUGGAAUUUCCGGUGUAGCGGUGAAAUGCGUAGAUAUCGGAAGGAACACCUGUG